Molecule: long non-coding RNA, 1302 nt
Filed under: Mus spretus (western wild mouse)
Lineage: Eukaryota; Metazoa; Chordata; Mammalia; Rodentia; Muridae
Description: predicted gene, 26995 (ENSMSPG00010045809.1)
Source: RNAcentral
UGGGGGCUUGUUUCCUAGGAAGGAGAUGCCCCCACCCCCGGGGGUGGGGAGAAGGCUGUGUUGGGUGGUCCCUCUGAGCAGUCAUUGAACUCUCUAUGUAGUUGAAGAUGCCCUCAAACUCACGAUCCUCCUGCCUCCAUGUCUUAAGUCCUGGAAUGACAGUGGCUACUCUGCACCAGAAAAACACCCUUGUUACCACACGGGAAGCAUCCCGCGGCCUGUAAACCUGCUGUGAGAGUCUCUGCUCCCUUUUCUUUCAUGCACUGUUUCAGGUGGUACGGACAAGAGCUAAAAACCACAUAGGAAAGUGGCCUCGCAGGGCUCUCCAGGACCUACCCACCUUGCUGAGGACCAGCAGCCGCUGCUUCUCUUUCUCAUUGGUGGCCAGGGAGGCGAACUGCUGCAGCUGCAGGGGCGUGGGCGGCGUGGUGAUGUCCAGCAUUUCCACCUUCACCACGUGGUUGGCAGGUGGCGCGUCCUCCAGCCGUUCAAUGAGUGCAUUCACGAGGUCCUCAUGGUUGCCAGGGAAGACACCUAGGUGGUCCCCUGGCUGGUACUGCAACUCCUGAUUCCCAUUGGUGUGGAGACGCACGAAGAUGGUCGAUCGGCUGCAGGAUACAAGGGAGUGGGUGUCGUGGGAAAAAGACCAGCACUCUGUCUCCCCUUUGCCCCUGGUCUGUCUCUCUAGGCUGCAGAGCUCUCCUUCCAUGCUCCCCGGCUCUGGUCUGCUGAGAUGCAUGCCCAGCACUUCCCCCAUAGCUUCUGCCAAACUCCUCCAGUCAGCUCUCCAUCAUGGAACCAACUGCCAGGUCCUGGGCCAGGGACAUCACACUUGUGAUGGCUCACCUCCUUUCUUGGGGCUGGUCCCCAAGUUCUCAUGGCCUCUCUGGUGUUCCCAGCUCAGUCUUCCAUGCUGGUCCCUUCUCAUUUCCCAAGCCCCGAUCCCAGCCACAACCUGCUGAGAUGUAUCCAUCCCCCAUAAUUUUCUGCCUCUUCUCCACUUUCCUCCAUUACAGAAUCCUUUACUUUACUUCUGUGGCUAGUGAUGUAUUCUAGGAUAAUAGGAACACGGUGACGCAGGGCAUUUAUCUACUAUGGCUGUGGCUUUAUCCCCAUUGACAGUGGCUGGCACAUAGUAUGUCCUGAGUCCUUGCUGAAGGAAGGCACUUCAGGGUUCCCAGGUAACUAGUUGCUAGCUGCCAUGUCCUUUGUAUCCAUCAGAGUUCUCCCAGGAACCAGCCACUCACUGUAGCUAUAGGUGGGAUGCCUCUGAUUUAUAAAGCUCUACUUAUCACUUCUCAU